GUGAACGCUGGCGGUAGGCCUAACACAUGCCAGUCGCACGGCAGCACAGUAAGCGCUUGCUCUUACGGGUGGCGAGUGGCGGACGGGUGAGGAAUACAUCGGAAUCUACUUUUUCGUGGGGGAUAACGUAGGGAAACUUACGCUAAUACCGCAUACGACCUACGGGUGAAAGCAGGGGAUCUUCGGACCUUGCGCGAUUGAAUGAGCCGAUGUCGGAUUAGCUAGUUGGCGGGGUAAAGGCCCACCAAGGCGACGAUCCGUAGCUGGUCUGAGAGGAUGAUCAGCCACACUGGAACUGAGACACGGUCCAGACUCCUACGGGAGGCAGCAGUGGGGAAUAUUGGACAAUGGGCGCAAGCCUGAUCCAGCCAUACCGCGUGGGUGAAGAAGGCCUUCGGGUUGUAAAGCCCCUUUGUUGGGAAAGAAAAGCAGCAGGUUAAUACCCCGCUGUUCUGACGGUACCCAAAGAAUAAGCACCGGCUAACUUCGUG
This 491-nucleotide ribosomal RNA is filed under the name uncultured bacterium. RNAcentral's name for it is "partial 16S ribosomal RNA". It matches the Rfam family "Bacterial small subunit ribosomal RNA", at positions 29 to 507 of the family's 1533-position model. The record is from RNAcentral.